GGGUUUAUAGCUCAGUUGGUUAGAGCACUACCUUGACAUGGUAGGGGUCGUUGGUUCGAAUCAAUUAAACCCACCA
This 76-nucleotide transfer RNA is filed under the name Aeromonas hydrophila. RNAcentral describes it as "tRNA-Val". It matches the Rfam family "tRNA". From Rfam's summary of the family: Transfer RNA (tRNA) molecules are approximately 80 nucleotides in length. Their secondary structure includes four short double-helical elements and three loops (D, anti-codon, and T loops). The record is from RNAcentral. Lineage: Bacteria; Pseudomonadati; Pseudomonadota; Gammaproteobacteria; Aeromonadales; Aeromonadaceae.